This 182-nucleotide ribosomal RNA is filed under the name uncultured bacterium. Its description in RNAcentral is "partial 16S ribosomal RNA". It matches the Rfam family "Bacterial small subunit ribosomal RNA", at positions 357 to 530 of the family's 1533-position model. The record is from RNAcentral.
AGGAAUUUUGCGCAAUGGGGGGAACCCUGACGCAGCAACGCCGCGUGAGUGAAGAAGGCCUUCGGGUCGUAAAGCUCUGUCGAGUGGGAAGAACCUUCGUAUGUUGAAUAUGCAUACGGACUGACGGUACCACAGAAGGAAGCACCGGCUAACUCCGGGCCAGCAGCCGCGGUAAUACAAAA